AAUGCAAAGAGAUGAUCCAAAGGUGAAUCGUGCUGGUGCUCUUCUUCCCGCCAACGCGUGCAAACCCUAAAUAAAUAAGGGCGUUUACGCACUGUGCUGUGUGUAAUGAACUAUGGAAUUCAAGUUAAGCGAUAACGCUCUCAAAACCUUUGCGCGGUGCAUCACUUGCCUCGCACGCAUAGGAAACGAACUCGCCAUUCAAGCUUCUUCCUCGCAGCUUCUUUUCCACACUAUUAAUUCGUCACGUUCUGCCUAUGAAUGCAUCACUUUCAAGUCUGGCUUCUUUGACGCGUAUACUGUUGAUGGUAAUUCCGUCCAAUGUAGUGUGCUUCUGAAGGCUGUUUGUGCUGUUCUAAGGACACCUAUUACAAAUAUUGAUCAUUUGACUGUGAGACUGCCUGAUCCAGAUGCUCCCAAAUUGCGGUGGAUUUUGGAUUGCUAUAAUGGUAUGAGAAAAACCUAUUGGAUUACUUGCAAUGUAGAACCCGACAUACAACACUUGUCCCUUGAUAGGCAAAAAUUUCCCAGCAACUUUGUUGUGAGGCCUCGAGAUCUGAACAGAUUACUUGCUAAUUUUCAGUCCUCUCUUCAAGAGAUCACUAUCAUUGCAACAGAACCUUCUGCUCUACCUCUUCAUGGUGCAAAUGAAAUUGGUGGAAAGGCUGUUGAACUUCGAAGUUAUAUGGACCCAAACAAAGACAAUGAUACAUUGCUGCACACCCAACUGUGGAUAGAUCCUAAAGAAGAAUUUUUGCAGUAUGUUCAUACUGGAGAUCCAAUAGAUGUGACUUUCAGUGUAAAAGAAUUGAAGGCAUUUCUUUCAUUUUGUGAGGGCUGUGAAGUUGACAUUCAUUUACAUUUCGAGAAAGCUGGCGAACCUGUUCUUUUGGCACCUAAGUUCGGUUUGGAAGAUGGGUCUCACUCAAAUUUUGAUGCCACCCUUGUGCUGGCAACCAUGUUAACAUCUCAGCUUCAUGAAGGGGCUGUCUCAGAACCUCCUAGGGGGGCCACCAGAGCACACCCUCAUACUGAAGAAAGAAAUGCAUCUUAUAUGCAGCAAGAGAACUGCAGAGCAAAUGCAUCAUCAGAGCUUCCAUCUGAUCACACCCGUAUUUGGUCGGACCUCUCAGCAAGUGCAUUUAAAAGCAUUAGUCCUUUGGAAGAGCGGCAGGCACAAGGAGAAACAGUUUUGAAUGAUGAUGGUGGAAGAGAAAUUCAAAGAAUUAGCACAAUGCAAAUAUCUAGAGUAACAUCAGUUGCAGGAAAUAAUCCCGUUGACUCCAAUUUACCAACUGAAAAGAAUCAUGGACCAGAGCCUCAAGAUGGGCUGCGAGAUAAUGUUCAAGCAAUUUCACAACAUCACCGAAGUAAUUGGAUUGACGCUGAAGAGGAUGAUGAAGACGAAGAGGAGGAAAAUGAGCAAUGCAUUCAGUCAACACCGCCAUACUAUGAAGAGAAUUAAUUUAGAGAACUCUACUGUAAUGGUUUGCCUUUAUCUCGACGACCUGCUUGUGCGUUAUCGAGACCUGCGAAUAAGAUAUUGGCCUCCUUCUACCACAGUCCAAGCGACGUUAGAAUCUCAUAAGAUAUUUGCAAACUCGAUGAUGUACCGACGAACUUGACGAUGAUCGACGAACUUGACGGUGAUCGACGAACUCCACCACUUUGAUAGUUUGAUCACCAUAAAUGAUGAAAGGCGGAAGGAAGGAUUUAGGGAUUGGGGAAGAAUGAGGGUGAUGAACACAUGAUUGAAUGAAAGUGAUGAACGCAAACGAGAGAGAAGAAGAAAACCUCGAGAGUGCAAAGGGAAAAAAUUAGGGCUUGCAAACGCAAAGUGAAAAAAAAUCUAGAAAGUUAAAGAUAUAAGGGCUGGAAAAAUUAAGAUAUUAUGACAGAGGAAGGCAUGGUGCAAAUCAGUUUGGAAAUGGCUUCAAUCUAUACAUAUGAAGCUUUCUUAAAGUCCGAGAUAUAUAGAACGGACCGAGAAAAAUUUAAAUGCUUACAUAUUGUCAAGCUAAUUUGGUUGACUAUUUAGAGGCGAAAGGACUUGGAGCUUUGGACCACUGAACAGAAACCAUUAAACUCUUCCAGAAGGUAGUAGCUGAUCGUAUCUUAUAUCAUAUUUUAAUACCUGGGAUUUUCUGCUAAAUUUGUUGUGUUAGGGUCGUUCAACGGUUUAAACCAAAUUUCGGAAAAACAUAGAUUUGACUUUUAUCCUUUU
This is an RNA transcript of Vigna radiata var. radiata (mung bean), 2221 nucleotides long. It is a transcript of the gene named cell cycle checkpoint control protein RAD9A, with no coding region annotated. The record is from RefSeq and is a predicted model, not a curated record. Lineage: Eukaryota; Viridiplantae; Streptophyta; Magnoliopsida; Fabales; Fabaceae. The transcript has 13 exons.